CACCGUUGUGCCCUUGAAGCGGUUGGUUUGCGGUGAGCUCCACAGCGCAAAACGUGAUCUAAAUUGAGACACAGAUUUUGCCCGGAGUUUCUGAGGAGAAGCAGCAGUAACCUGUGUCAGCUUCACCAAAACCCAUGCAGUCCCAGCUAAGGCUUCUGCUGCCAUCUGCAGAUCCAGGACCUUAGGGGUCCAUUGCGUGUACGAUGUUCUCACCCAGAUUCUUGAGCACUGCGACAGCAUUAUCCCACUAGUGUGGCAACACGGACAUUUCUGUAUCUAGCUGGGGCCCAGAAACCUGAGAAGGUAGUAAUUCCAUUCCUCCACUG
This 326-nucleotide long non-coding RNA is filed under the name Scleropages formosus (Asian bonytongue). RNAcentral's name for it is "lncRNA (ENSSFOG00015032981.1)". The record is from RNAcentral. Lineage: Eukaryota; Metazoa; Chordata; Actinopteri; Osteoglossiformes; Osteoglossidae.